Molecule: long non-coding RNA, 256 nt
Filed under: Mytilus galloprovincialis (Mediterranean mussel)
Lineage: Eukaryota; Metazoa; Mollusca; Bivalvia; Mytilida; Mytilidae
Source: RNAcentral
UGCCUGGUGCCUUUCUAUUCCUUAAACUUUUUAGUGCUCUCUGGAUUUCUAGUUUGGUUGGCGCAUAAAGAUCUAUAUCUAAUUCUAAUGGUGUUUCUGUGAUAUCGAUGCUAACUGUAUUUUCUGGUUCUUUUCUAUUGAGAACUUCUUGAAAAUGUUCUUUCCAUCUUUCCUUUUGUUCUUUUUCGGAUGAUAAUGUGUUGUUUUGUUUGUCUUUAAUUGGCAUGCUCUUAUUAGUUGCAUAGCUGUUUUACAA